GCGGGUGUAGCUCAGCGGUAGAGCAUCACGUUGCCAACGUGAAUGUCGUGGGUUCGAUCCCCAUCACCCGCUCCA
RNAcentral lists this transfer RNA (75 nucleotides) under Planctomycetota bacterium. RNAcentral describes it as "Planctomycetes bacterium (bioreactor metagenome) tRNA-Gly". It matches the Rfam family "tRNA". Rfam says of the family: Transfer RNA (tRNA) molecules are approximately 80 nucleotides in length. Their secondary structure includes four short double-helical elements and three loops (D, anti-codon, and T loops). Lineage: Bacteria; Pseudomonadati; Planctomycetota. The record is from RNAcentral. RNAcentral also lists the same sequence under 4 other names.